CGUCAGGAACGUAGCACCCUCCGGGGUGUGUUAUAGCCUGGCGGACGAUACCCCCGUGGGGACCGAGGUUCGCGCUCCGCAAGGAUGCUGGCGUAAUGGUCACCAGUGACCCGUCUUGAAACACGGACCAAGGAGUCGUCCAUUAGAGCGAGCGUUUGGGUGUAAAACCCGCACGCGUAAUGAAAGUGAACGCAGGUGAGAGCUUCGGCGCAUCAUCGACCGAUCCUGAUGUUCUCGGAAGGAUUUGAGUAAGAGUUUUAACGGACGGACCCGAAAGACAGUGAACUAUGCUUGUAUAGGGUGAAGCCAGAGGAAACUCUGGUGGAGGCUCGCAGCGGUUCUGACGUGCAAAUCGAUCGUCAAAUAUGAGCAUGGGGGCGAAAGACUAAUCGAACUGUCUAGUAGCUGGUUACCGCCGAAGUUUCCCUCAGGAUAGCAGUGUUGAUCUUCAGUUUUAUGAGGUAAAGCGAAUGAUUAGGGACUCGGGGGCGCUAUAUAGCCUUCAUCCAUUCUCAAACUUUAAAUAUGUAAGAAGCCCUUGUUACUUAGUUGAACGUGGGCAUUCGAAUGUACCAACACUAGUGGGCCAUUUUUGGUAAGCAGAACUGGCGAUGCGGGAUGAACCGAACGCGGGGUUAAGGCGCCAGAGUGUACGCUCAUCAGACACCACAAAAGGCGUUAGUACAUCUUGACAGCAGGACGGUGGCCAUGGAAGUCGGAAUCCGCUAAGGACUGUGUAACAACUCACCUGCCGAAUGUACUAGCCCUGAAAAUGGAUGGCGCUCAAGCGUACCGCCCAUACCCCGCCCCCAGGGUAGAAACGAUGCCCUGGGGAGUAGGCGGCCGUGGGGGUCUGUGACGAAGCCUAGGGC
Molecule: ribosomal RNA, 872 nt
Filed under: Diaporthe sp.
Lineage: Eukaryota; Fungi; Ascomycota; Sordariomycetes; Diaporthales; Diaporthaceae
Description: partial large subunit ribosomal RNA
Rfam family: Eukaryotic large subunit ribosomal RNA
Source: RNAcentral